This 468-nucleotide ribosomal RNA is filed under the name uncultured bacterium. RNAcentral describes it as "partial 16S ribosomal RNA". It matches the Rfam family "Bacterial small subunit ribosomal RNA", at positions 28 to 507 of the family's 1533-position model. The record is from RNAcentral.
GACGAACGCUGGCGGCGUGCUUAACACAUGCAAGUCGAACGGAAAGGCCCUGCUUUUGUGGGGUGCUCGAGUGGCGAACGGGUGAGUAACACGUGAGUAACCUGCCCUUGACUUUGGGAUAACUUCAGGAAACUGGGGCUAAUACCGGAUAGGAGCUCCUGCUGCAUGGUGGGGGUUGGAAAGUUUCGGCGGUUGGGGAUGGACUCGCGGCUUAUCAGCUUGUUGGUGGGGUAGUGGCUUACCAAGGCUUUGACGGGUAGCCGGCCUGAGAGGGUGACCGGCCACAUUGGGACUGAGAUACGGCCCAGACUCCUACGGGGGGCAGCAGUGGGGAAUAUUGCACAAUGGGCGGAAGCCUGAUGCAGCAACGCCGCGUGCGGGAUGACGGCCUUCGGGUUGUAAACCGCUUUCGCCUGUGACGAAGCGUGAGUGACGGUAAUGGGUAAAGAAGCACUGGCUAACCACGUG